GAUGAACGCUGGCGGCGUGCUUAACACAUGCAAGUCGAACGGUGAAGCAGGAGCUUGCUCUUGUGGGUCAGUGGCGAACGGGUGAGUAACACGUGAGCAACCUGCCCCUGACUCUGGGAUAAGCGCUGGAAACGGCGUCUAAUACUGGAUAUGUGAUGUGACCGCAUGGUCUGCAUCUGGAAAGAAUUUCGGUUGGGGAUGGGCUCGCGGCCUAUCAGCUUGGUGGUGAGGUAAUGGCUCACCAAGGCGUCGACGGGUAGCCGGCCUGAGAGGGUGACCGGCCAGACUGGGACUGCGACACGGCCCAGACUCCUACGGGAGGCAGCAGUGGGGAAUAGUGCACAAUGGGCGGAAGCCUGAUGCAGCAACGCCGCGUGAGGGAUGACGGCCUUCGGGUUGUAAACCUCUUUUAGCAGGGAAGAAGCGAAAGUGACGGUACCUGCAGAAAAAGCACCGGCUAACUACGUGCCAGCCGCCGCGGUAA
Molecule: ribosomal RNA, 484 nt
Filed under: uncultured bacterium
Lineage: Bacteria
Description: partial 16S ribosomal RNA
Rfam family: Bacterial small subunit ribosomal RNA
Source: RNAcentral